Molecule: ribosomal RNA, 450 nt
Filed under: uncultured bacterium
Lineage: Bacteria
Description: partial 16S ribosomal RNA
Rfam family: Bacterial small subunit ribosomal RNA
Source: RNAcentral
GUGGGGAAUAUUGGACAAUGGGCGAAAGCCUGAUCCAGCCAUGCCGCGUGUGUGAAGAAGGUCUUCGGAUUGUAAAGCACUUUAAGUUGGGAGGAAGGGCAGUAAGUUAAUACCUUGCUGUUUUGACGUUACCGACAGAAUAAGCACCGGCUAACUUCGUGCCAGCAGCCGCGGUAAUACGAAGGGUGCAAGCGUUAAUCGGAAUUACUGGGCGUAAAGCGCGCGUAGGUGGUUCCGUAAGUUGGAAGUGAAAUCCCCGGGCUCAACCUGGGAACUGCUUUCAGAACUGCUGAGCUAGAGUACGGUAGAGGGUGGUGGAAUUUCCUGUGUAGCGGUGAAAUGCGUAGAUAUAGGAAGGAACACCAGUGGCGAAGGCGACCACCUGGACUGAUACUGACACUGAGGUGCGAAAGCGUGGGGAGCAAACAGGAUUAGAUACCCCAGUAGUCC